Molecule: ribosomal RNA, 548 nt
Filed under: uncultured bacterium
Lineage: Bacteria
Description: bacterial SSU rRNA
Rfam family: Bacterial small subunit ribosomal RNA
Source: RNAcentral
AAUAAGAUACCCGGGUAGUCCUAGCCGUAAACGAUGAACACUAGGCGUAGUCGGUAUCGACCCCCGGCUGUGCCGUAGCUAACGCAUUAAGUGUUCCGCCUGGGGAGUACGGCCGCAAGGCUAAAACUCAAAGGAAUUGACGGGGGGCCCGCACAAGCAGCGGAGCGUGUGGUUUUAAUUCGUCGCAACGCGAAGAACCUUACCAGGGCUUGACAUGUGGCGGAAAACGGCGGAAACGUCGUCCUCCCGCAAGGGACCGUCAUGCAGGUGUUGCAUGGCUGUCGUCAGCUCGUGUCGUGAGAUGUUGGGUUAAGUCCCGCAACGAGCGCAACCCCCGUGGCAUGUUGUAUCUCUCAUGCCAGACUGCCGAGAGAAACUCGGGAGGAAGGUGGGGAUGACGCCAAGUCAGCAUGGCCCUUACGUCCUGGGCUACACACACGCUACAAUGGCCGGUACAACGGGUUGCCAAACCGCGAGGUGGAGCUAACUCCCUUAAAGCCGGUCUCAGUUCGGAUUGCAGGCUGCAACUCGCCUGCAUGAAGCCGGGU